Molecule: ribosomal RNA, 611 nt
Filed under: uncultured Cantharellales
Lineage: Eukaryota; Fungi; Basidiomycota; Agaricomycetes; Cantharellales
Description: eukaryotic LSU rRNA
Rfam family: 5.8S ribosomal RNA (bases 202-355)
Source: RNAcentral
GCGGAGGAUCAUUAACGAAUGUACUCCCGGGGGGUUGUGCUGGCGCUCUCGGGCGCAUGUGCACGCCUCCCGAGGUAUGUCUCCUCACACCUGUGCACGAAGCCCGUCGGACGCCAAGGUGGCUCGCGCCUCCUGUCCGACGCUUUCACACCAGCUUAGAACGUACGUCGAAUGCUUAUUGCGCACGCGCAACCUAAAUACAACUUUUAACAACGGAUCUCUUGGUUCUCGCAUCGAUGAAGAACGCAGCGAAACGCGAUAAGUAAUGUGAAUUGCAGAAUUCAGUGAAUCAUCGAAUCUUUGAACGCACCUUGCGCUCCUUGGUAUUCCGAGGAGCAUGCCCGUUUGAGUGUCGUGAUAUCAUCAGGCGCCUUCUUCUUCUGGAGGCUGGCGCUUGGACUUGGAUGUGCUGCCGGGCGGCGACGCUCGGCUCGUCCUAAAUGCAUUAGCGAGACCCCUGUGGCCUUUGGACUUUGGCUCUCACUCGGCGUGAUAAGAUCACCCGUCGAGACGUCGUCCUGGCCGACUAGGAAGGCUCGCUUCCAACCGUCCCUUGCGGACAACUUUGACAAUCUGACCUCAAAUCGGGUAGGACUACCCGCUGAACUUAA